GAGAGACUGAGUAACAUAUCCAAAGCUACAGAGCUUGGAGAAGAGUUAGGUCUUUUGCCUUUUUUCCACGAUGCAUCUUACCAUGGCUUACCUUAGUUCAGGAUCUUCAGCCAAUCUUUUUUUUUUUUUUAGCGUUUAACAAACAAGAACUACCAAUGCUCAAUUAAUUGUUGCUGCCUUUGAAACCAUGUGAAUUAUACAGAGGAAGUGGCAUUGAAAGGAGGCCUUGAAGGAUGCCUGUGACUUCAAGGUAGAUGACGCUGGGGCUAAGGUAACAUCAAGAUAAGGAGAAGAUUUGUAAAGCCACUACGCUGUCAAUAGGAUCAUGUGGUUGGGAAAGGAAGUUCACCGGCUGGAGUUGAAGCAAUAAAGAGCCCAGGGAAGAUUAGCCCUGAGCCAGCUGCUGCCAAUCCUCUUUUUGCUGAGGAAGACUGGCCCUGAGCUAACAUCCUUGCCCAUCUUCCUCUACUUUAUACGUGGGACGCCUACCACAGUGUGGCUUGCCAAGUGGUGCCAUGUCCACACCCGGGAUCUGAACUGGCAAACCCUGGGCUGCUGAGAAGCGGAACGUGCAAACUUAACUACUGUGCCACUGGGCCGGCCCUAAAAUUCUUAAAUGCUAU
This 623-nucleotide long non-coding RNA is filed under the name Equus asinus (donkey). RNAcentral's name for it is "lncRNA (ENSEASG00005034946.1)". Lineage: Eukaryota; Metazoa; Chordata; Mammalia; Perissodactyla; Equidae. The record is from RNAcentral.